GGAUCGAAUGGUCAUAUUUAUUUAAAAACCAGCUGGCUUGAUGGGAAAACAUAUUUUUCCCCCUUUUAAAAAAAUUUGAACAUUGUACUCCAUGACAUCUCAUCGUCUAGUCCCUGUCUCAAACGGUUUCAGGAAGGACCCAUAUCUUGAAUGGCUUUUUAAAUAUUUUAAUGUCUGCAUCACAUGUUGUCGUAAAAACAUGGAAGUGUUGGUCAGUAUGUGAAUAGCUUGACCGAAUUAUUUUAUUUCUACCGAAAUUCCUGUAACUCGUAGAAGUUUACAACUAGUACUCGGUGCAGAUGGGUGACAGGUGGUAGCAUGUAGCGUAUCUCAAAAGGAAAUACAUCAUCUACCCCAACUCCAAAGACUUGCCGUUGCCAUCAACCGAAAAGUCUUAAAGCUGUUGACCUUUUUAGAGACGGAAUUCGUUGUGUUCAGUCCCAGAGCAGCAGUGACAGAUGGCCACCCACAUGCAAAUAGACAUGCACUAAUUAUACAUUGAAGUGAUUCCGCCAUACUUGUCGGAUCGUCGGAUAGUCUUUUUACUCAACACGACUGUAACGGUACACAAGAGUGGGGGGGGGGGGACAACUUCCUAAAGGAAAAAUGUAAAUAGUACAAAACAGCGUGUGUUAGUAGCGUCAACGACAAUCGAUGUACUCGACCAGAAAAAAAGAUUCUCGAAUGCGAGAAAAAUAAUAGUGCAAAAUCACUAAAAUAAUAAUAGGUU
This is a long non-coding RNA of Daphnia magna, 730 nucleotides long. RefSeq lists it as uncharacterized. NCBI's taxonomy places the organism in Eukaryota, Metazoa, Arthropoda, Branchiopoda, Diplostraca, Daphniidae. The record is from RefSeq and is a predicted model, not a curated record. The transcript is spliced from 3 exons.